RNAcentral lists this long non-coding RNA (927 nucleotides) under Salvia miltiorrhiza (redroot sage). RNAcentral describes it as "long non-coding RNA (SMIL_LNC010504)". Lineage: Eukaryota; Viridiplantae; Streptophyta; Magnoliopsida; Lamiales; Lamiaceae. The record is from RNAcentral.
UAUAAGAUAGGAAUAUUAGUUUAUACGUUCUUAAAGUUCAUAGAGUCAGUAUAUUGAUUAGUUUAGUUGAUGCAACCUUAGCAGUUUAUUGGGAUGUUAUUUAUAGCUAAUUCUUCUUAUCUAGUUAUCCAAUCUUAUUUUAGAAUCUUGCUAUUAUGAAGGUGACAGUAGCAAUGAUAGAUAAGUGAGCAAGAGUUUCUACAUCGUUAAGCGUAUCAGGUGGGCUUUCUAAACUCAGAAUUUGAAGUGCGCACUAUUUAAUGAUGUUUAUAUGAAUGAAAGUUAUAUUAAAGUUAUUGACUUGCCAAAUUAUUUUAUGAGCUUGUAUGUUACCAUCUACGAGAGAUAGACGAUAUCGGCCCUAUGCUGAAGCGAGAUGUCAGUAAGGGUUUGUGCACAUAGUUGUGACCGUGAGUCAUCGAGCGGGUUGGCUGGUCACUGUGAUCGGGAGCCUUCGGGCCGAUCACUGUGUUUGAGAAGGAGGCCUACUUCUCAACACAAGGUUACAUGAAGCGUAGUUAUGGUACAUACAUGUUAAUUGUCUGCAGACGUAUAUGAUGUUAUGAUGAUAUAUAUAUAGAAGUUUUAGAGUUUUGGCGUGCACAGGUUAUUUUUAAAUAAAACUCCUGUGUGAUGCUUGAGAUGGCAAGUUCAAUAUAUAGCUCUAAGAGCAAACUUUAAAGUUAUUUCGGCAUGUGACCAUUGGGUACCUUUUUAGUACUCAGCCCUGCAUAUGUUUUCUAAAUAUGCAGGUUAAGCUGUGAUGCGGAUGGAAGCGAGCAGAACAAAGUCUUAAAGAUAAUGUAUUAAAUUAGGCUCAGGAUUUCAUGUCCUCAUACAUGUAAUCCACUUGAGUUAUUUCCGCUGCAACACUUAAUGUACUUUACUUUAUUGAUGUGUUGUACAGAUUUUAAACCAAUAGCUUCG